Long non-coding RNA from Ictalurus punctatus (channel catfish), 958 nucleotides. The record is from Ensembl. Lineage: Eukaryota; Metazoa; Chordata; Actinopteri; Siluriformes; Ictaluridae.
UGUACGUCAGUAAAGAAAGUGGUGUAUUAAGAGGUAAGAGACACUCUUCAGACAAAAAAAAAACAACAAAAAAACAAACCUAAUGAAUUUCUGGAUUUUGCUGCAGAAAUAAGAAGCGACCCCGACAGUCAAAGUCUCCGGAAGAACCGUGUCUGGUUCUAAGAUGCUCGAUAAAACUUACCGCUCAUUUCCUUAUAAAACUGCACUCAUUCUACCUGAGAUGACUUUAUUUAUUUAUUUUUUCCAAGCAAAUGGUCAUCACACCAAAUAUAGCCUUGGUUUCAUUUACCUGCUCUUUAUAGUAUUUUUUUAAAUGUAGAAACAUUUAACUUUUCAUUAUAUUUGAAGGCAUCGUUGCUCUACAGCAUCUCUUUGCGUGCGCUUUAAACUUUUGCACAGUACCGUACAUCAGGUCCAUUUUUAUAAUCUGAAACAUUUGAAGAACGAGUUUCUAUGUGGAUCUUCUGAUCGCCCUGCAUUCUUUCAGGAUGAUCACGCAGGGACGACAGAGUGAGGGCAAAACACAAACCCGAAACCUGAAGGUAUUUGUCUUGUGGUUCAGGAAACGGGUUUGACCAGAACAAAGGAGGUUGUGUACUGAACCACACCCUCUGGCUUCAAAAACUACGGAGAGGCAAAAGGUGCUGUUGGGAUACUCUACGGAUUGACAUACUUUAUAUAUGAACUUUGCCUUCUCUGGAUAUUAUCUCUAUAUACUAUUAAUUCCGGUAUCAAUAUACGAUGGGCUGUCGAACUCCACCACCUUCCCAGCAUGCAUCACCAGAACUCUGUCAGAGUCCAUGAUUGUAUUGAGUCUGUUGGAGAGAGAGAGAGAGAGAGAGAGAGAGAGAGAGCGCACAAGGGUGAGAUCACUGUAAUUCAAGGGUACUUUUACAAAUAAACAUCUCCACAUGUAUAGAUUCUCACCAAAAAACAAACAAACAAACAAACAUACAGC